This 271-nucleotide unclassified non-coding RNA is filed under the name Hevea brasiliensis (rubber tree). The record is from RNAcentral. Lineage: Eukaryota; Viridiplantae; Streptophyta; Magnoliopsida; Malpighiales; Euphorbiaceae.
GAUUGUGGGAGAGAGGUUAGAAGCUAGAGGGCUUUAUCUUCAUCAUGUGCCUUCACACUAAUGCUGGCCUAUUGGAUAAUUAAUUUUUUGAAGACAUUAAGGUGAUCUCUAACAUCUGUACAUUCCUCUAUUCUGAAUUUUUCAAACAUCAGACAUUAAGGUGAUCUCUAACUGCGGUAAUUUUGGAUGAUAAGAAGUUGAAAAUGCCUAAUAGUAGCAAUAAAGAUAGAAUUUUUGUUGAUAGUUCUAGUUGUGAUAAAAGCAAGUCACG